ACACAUGCAAGUCGAGGGGAAACGAUGGGAGGGCUUGCCCUCCCAGGCGUCGACCGGCGCACGGGUGAGUAACACGUAUCCAACCUGCCCUCUUCCGGGGAACAACCUUGCGAAAGUAAGACUAAUGCCCCAUGUGUCCUCAGACGGCAUCAGACGAGGACGAAAGAUUUAUCGGAAGUGGAUGGGGAUGCGCCUGAUUAGGCAGUUGGCGGGGCAACGGCCCACCAAGCCGACGAUCAGUAGGGGUUCUGAGAGGAAGGUCCCCCACAUUGGAACUGAGAUACGGCCCAGACUCCUACGGGAGGCAGCAGUGGGGAAUAUUGGGCAAUGGGCGCAAGCCUGACCCAGCAACGCCGCGUGAAGGAAGAAGGCUUUCGGGUUGUAAACUUCUUUUGUCAGGGACGAGUAGAAGACGGUACCUGACGAAUAAGCCACGGCUAACUACGUGCCAGCAGCCGCGGUAAUACGUAGGUGGCAAGCGUUGUCCGGAUUUACUGGGUGUAAAGGGCGUGUAGCCGGGAGGGCAAGUCAGAUGUGAAAUCCACGGGCUCAACUCGUGAACUGCAUUUGAAACUACUCUUCUUGAGUAUCGGA
RNAcentral lists this ribosomal RNA (594 nucleotides) under uncultured bacterium. RNAcentral describes it as "bacterial SSU rRNA". It matches the Rfam family "Bacterial small subunit ribosomal RNA", at positions 51 to 653 of the family's 1533-position model. The record is from RNAcentral.